AGUGAACGCUGGCGGUAGGCCUAACACAUGCAAGUCGAACGGCAGCACAGUAAGAGCUUGCUCUUACGGGUGGCGAGUGGCGGACGGGUGAGGAAUGCAUCGGAAUCUACUCUGUCGUGGGGGAUAACGUAGGGAAACUUACGCUAAUACCGCAUACGACCUACGGGUGAAAGCAGGGGAGUCUUCGGACCUUGCGCGAUUGAAUGAGCCGAUGCCCGAUUAGCUAGUUGGCGGGGUAAGAGCCCACCAAGGCGACGAUCGGUAGCUGGUCUGAGAGGAUGAUCAGCCACACUGGAACUGAGACACGGUCCAGACUCCUACGGGAGGCAGCAGUGGGGAAUAUUGGACAAUGGGCGCAAGCCUGAUCCAGCCAUACCGCGUGGGUGAAGAAGG
This 393-nucleotide ribosomal RNA is filed under the name uncultured bacterium. RNAcentral describes it as "bacterial SSU rRNA". It matches the Rfam family "Bacterial small subunit ribosomal RNA", at positions 29 to 414 of the family's 1533-position model. The record is from RNAcentral.